CACAAGCGGUGGAUGAUGUGGAUUAAUUCGAUGCAACGACGAAAACCUUACCUACCCUUGACAUGUCAGGAAGUCCGCUGAGAGGUGGAUGUGCUACGAAAGAGAACCUGAACACAGGUGCUGCAUGGCUGUCGUCAGCUCGUGUCGUGAGAUGUUGGGUUAAGUCCCGCAACGAGCGCAACCCUUGUCAUUAAUUGCCAUCAUUCAGUUGGGCACUUUAAUGAGACUGCCGGUGACAAACCGGAGGAAGGUGGGGAUGACGUCAAGUCCUCAUGGCCCUUAUGGGUAGGGCUUCACACGUCAUACAAUGGUCGGUACAGAGGGUUGCCAACCCGCGAGGGGGAGCCAAUCCCACAAAGCCGAUCGUAGUCCGGAUCGCAGUCUGCAACUCGACUGCGUGAAGUCGGAAUCGCUAGUAAUCGUGGAUCAGCAUGUCACGGUGAAUACGUUCCCGGGUCUU
Molecule: ribosomal RNA, 460 nt
Filed under: uncultured Rhodocyclaceae bacterium
Lineage: Bacteria; Pseudomonadati; Pseudomonadota; Betaproteobacteria; Rhodocyclales; Rhodocyclaceae
Description: bacterial SSU rRNA
Rfam family: Bacterial small subunit ribosomal RNA
Source: RNAcentral